UACUGCUCACUUCAACAGUACAUAUAUUAAAAUUGGAAUGACACAAAGAUUAGUAUGGCCCCUCUGCAAAGAUGACAUGCAAAUUCAUGAAGCAUCCUGUAUGUUU
Molecule: small nuclear RNA, 106 nt
Organism: Pongo abelii (Sumatran orangutan)
Lineage: Eukaryota; Metazoa; Chordata; Mammalia; Primates; Hominidae
Source: Ensembl